RNAcentral lists this ribosomal RNA (375 nucleotides) under uncultured bacterium. Its description in RNAcentral is "bacterial SSU rRNA". It matches the Rfam family "Bacterial small subunit ribosomal RNA", at positions 521 to 896 of the family's 1533-position model. The record is from RNAcentral.
UAAUACGGAGGGGGUUAGCGUUGUUCGGAAUUACUGGGCGUAAAGCGCACGUAGGCGGAUUGGAAAGUUGGGGGUGAAAUCCCAGGGCUCAACCCUGGAACGGCCUCCAAAACUCCCAGUCUGGAGUUCGAGAGAGGUGAGUGGAAUUCCGAGUGUAGAGGUGAAAUUCGUAGAUAUUCGGAGGAACACCAGUGGCGAAGGCGGCUCACUGGCUCGAUACUGACGCUGAGGUGCGAAAGUGUGGGGAGCAAACAGGAUUAGAUACCCUGGUAGUCCACACCGUAAACGAUGAAUGCCAGUCGUCGGCAAGCAUGCUUGUCGGUGACACACCUAACGGAUUAAGCAUUCCGCCUGGGGAGUACGGUCGCAAGAUUA